RNAcentral lists this long non-coding RNA (510 nucleotides) under Phoenix dactylifera (date palm). RNAcentral describes it as "long non-coding RNA (PDAC_LNC010929)". The record is from RNAcentral. Lineage: Eukaryota; Viridiplantae; Streptophyta; Magnoliopsida; Arecales; Arecaceae.
AUUAUAAAUUUUAUAUGAAGGCAGGUAAGGAAUUGGUUGGAAAUUGGCUUUGGAUUUGAGGUGGGUCAUGAUCGUUGAUUUGCUUGAACUUGUUCUCGAGCCCAAUGUCAUUGAAAUUUAAUUUUUGCUGAACUGUUUCAGACCGGACUCGACAAGACUAAAAACAGGACCGUGACUUAAUAAAAAGGGUUAAUCAAACCUUUUUUCUUAUACAAAAAUAAUUAUCUAAUCAGGACCAAAACCUAUUUAAUUAUAACCUUAGCAUGGUUACAACUCCAUCAGGUUAAUAAAUCGGGUCAACACAUCUCCUUCUUAUAUGUUUUUCUGUAGCUUUCUUGAAAGAUCGUCACCAAGAGAGAGAGACAAGUUCAGAGUCUGGUUUAAGAAAAGAAUUAUUUACUUCUUACCAUAUUUUAAAUUUAUUUCAAUGAUUAUUCAAUUUCAUGGUAAAAUAUGUAUUUAUCAGUUUAAGAAUAUUGAUAAGUGCUAUGGAAAGAUAACUAAAUUAUA